UGCUAACAGAGCCUUCCAUAUGCAAGCACCAGAGUUCUAUGCUUCACCAGGGGUUUAGGUCAAGAAGAGCAGGUGCGGAUGAGGUUCCAGGAGGAAGAAUCAAGUUGGAGCUGUAAAGCAAAUCUUUUAUUUACACAGUGUGCACUGAAAGCCUUAUGAGAGUCGACUUUGGAAAGCUGGACUAUUUUUUUCCUCAAUUUAUUUCAGCUUCCUUUGGAAAAAAAAAUAGCUCAUGGCUGAGGUAAUAGAGCACAAGCCUUAAAACAUAUGCUGAAGCAGAUGGGAGGAGGGCCAGAGUCGAGAUGCAGCCUUGCUUUUCUGGCUGUUCUGGUUUUUACACUGUGAAAAAAAUAUCUUUUCUAAACAUGAAUUUGUCCUUCCUCUAC
RNAcentral lists this non-coding RNA (386 nucleotides) under Pan troglodytes (chimpanzee). Lineage: Eukaryota; Metazoa; Chordata; Mammalia; Primates; Hominidae. The record is from RNAcentral.